RNAcentral lists this ribosomal RNA (207 nucleotides) under uncultured bacterium. RNAcentral's name for it is "partial 16S ribosomal RNA". It matches the Rfam family "Bacterial small subunit ribosomal RNA", at positions 568 to 774 of the family's 1533-position model. The record is from RNAcentral.
CUCGUAGGCGGUUCGUCGCGUCCGGUGUGAAAGUCCAUCGCUUAACGGUGGAUCCGCGCCGGGUACGGGCGGGCUUGAGUGCGGUAGGGGAGGCUGGAAUUCCCGGUGUAACGGUGGAAUGUGUAGAUAUCGGGAAGAACACCAAUGGCGAAGGCAGGUCUCUGGGCCGUCACCGACGCUGAGGAGCGAAAGCGUGGGGAGCGAACA